AUUGAACGCUGGCGGCAGGCCUAACACAUGCAAGUCGAACGAGUGGCGGACAUGUGAGUAAUGUAUGGGAAUCUGCCAGUUAGAGGGGGAUAAAUAAUGGAUACGGUAGCUAAUACCGCAUAAUAUAGGAUGAGCCCAUAUGGGAUUAGCUAGUAGGUGGGGUAAAGGCUCACAUAGGAGAGGAUCUCUAGCUAGUCUGAGAGGAUGAUCGGUCACACUGGAACUGAGACACGACCCAGACUUCUACGGUAGUCCUCAGUGGGACAUAUUGCACAAUGGGCGCAAGCAUGAUGCAGCCAUGCCGCGUGUAUGAAGAAGGCUUUAGGGUUGUAAAGUACUUUCAGCGGGGAGGCGGUACCCGCAGAAGAAGCACCGGCUAACUCCGUGCCAGCAGCCGCGGUAAUUC
This 406-nucleotide ribosomal RNA is filed under the name uncultured bacterium. RNAcentral describes it as "partial 16S ribosomal RNA". It matches the Rfam family "Bacterial small subunit ribosomal RNA", at positions 30 to 526 of the family's 1533-position model. The record is from RNAcentral.